GGCCAUUUAGCGCAGUGGUUUUAGCGCACUACUCUCAUAAGGUAGGGGUCGGCAGUUCGAUCCUGUCAAUGGUCA
Molecule: non-coding RNA, 75 nt
Organism: Bisporella sp. PMI_857
Lineage: Eukaryota; Fungi; Ascomycota; Leotiomycetes; Helotiales; Helotiaceae
Source: the annotation of a GenBank genome assembly